This 69-nucleotide microRNA precursor is filed under the name Jaculus jaculus (lesser Egyptian jerboa). Its description in RNAcentral is "microRNA 188 (ENSJJAG00000001615.1)". It matches the Rfam family "mir-188 microRNA precursor family", at positions 9 to 76 of the family's 84-position model. Lineage: Eukaryota; Metazoa; Chordata; Mammalia; Rodentia; Dipodidae. The record is from RNAcentral.
UCUCACAUCCCUUGCAUGGUGGAGGGCGAGAUUUCUAAAAAACCCCUCCCACAUGCAGGGUUUGCAGGA